This 1059-nucleotide long non-coding RNA is filed under the name Citrus sinensis (sweet orange). RNAcentral's name for it is "long non-coding RNA (CSIN_LNC004516)". Lineage: Eukaryota; Viridiplantae; Streptophyta; Magnoliopsida; Sapindales; Rutaceae. The record is from RNAcentral.
GCAUGUGAAUUGAUGUGAUCAUGUCAAUCUUUAUUUAUAUAGUUUUUUUUUUUCAUUAGGAUGGUCAUAAGCAAUGUAGCCCCAGGGGCACGGUGGCGUGGGUUUCAGCCUCUUUGUUUGGUGGUGCUCACACUAUUACUUCUUUUUUGUUUUUUAAGUCCUCAUAAGGUGUGAAAGUAAUCGAAUAAUUUUGUUUGUCUGCUCACCUGUGCCUUGCAUAUUUCAGCUACCUGGCUUCGCACUUGCAGAUAGUUGUCAGAGGAUUUAUAAGAUUUUGUAAGAAUAUCAAUUGCUUCCUCGGUCGGUAUUACUCCAGCUAAACCUUCUUCGAUAUCCUGUUGAUAACAAAAGCCUAUAAGAUCUUUCAUUAACUUUUUUUUUUUCUUUUUGUCAGGUUUGUGUUGAAUUGGAUAAGUCACUUCACCUAAAAGCGUGCACGCAAGCAUGCAAGCAAGUAUACAAUAAAGAAAAAAAUCUUACCUCCUGGAAAUCUUUGUUUAUAGUUUUAAGAAAGUGAUCGGAUGGAUUCUGGAGGGUUGGGCAAGGGAAGCCAUUCAAAGCAAAAAACUGCAUGUAAUUGAAAGCAAACAAGCACGUUAGUUAAAUUUUUAUUUGGGAAAAUGAUGUUAGUAAUUAAGCCAAUCAUUUCUCUAAUCAUGUUUCAAAAACUAUCAAAACCUUAUGUUGGUUAAAAAAAUUGAUCCACUUUUCAUUUUACUAUGGAUCAAUCAAAAUUUCUAUGGGUAUAGUAGUUUAAGAUUAAAAAGGUGAAAGUUAUUUAUUUAUUUUUUUCUUUUUGGCAGCACCGAGGUUUUGAUGGGUUCUGAACAUUGUGGGGAAAUGAACUUGCCUCAUUUGCCGCAGAAGCUGGACCAAAAUAGACAGUUUGACCGGAAGAAAGAAGGCAAAGGUUGUGAAAAAGCUGAAAAACUUCGCUGCUAGGUUGAUGGAUUGAUGCUAUUAUUGUUCUUGAUCCCACUCCAUGAUCUCUUUGAUCAAGCUUAGCAAUCCUGCUCAUUACAUAGUAUGAAGCAGCACUAUCAAGUCCGCUUGUUGGCU